Molecule: ribosomal RNA, 353 nt
Filed under: Acinetobacter sp. LCT-H3
Lineage: Bacteria; Pseudomonadati; Pseudomonadota; Gammaproteobacteria; Moraxellales; Moraxellaceae
Description: bacterial SSU rRNA
Rfam family: Bacterial small subunit ribosomal RNA
Source: RNAcentral
CGCAACGAGCGCAACCCUUUUCCUUAUUUGCCAGCGGGUAAUGCCGGGAACUUUAAGGAUACUGCCAGUGACAAACUGGAGGAAGGCGGGGACGACGUCAAGUCAUCAUGGCCCUUACGGCCAGGGCUACACACGUGCUACAAUGGUCGGUACAAAGGGUUGCUACCUCGCGAGAGGAUGCUAAUCUCAAAAAGCCGAUCGUAGUCCGGAUCGCAGUCUGCAACUCGACUGCGUGAAGUCGGAAUCGCUAGUAAUCGCGGAUCAGAAUGCCGCGGUGAAUACGUUCCCGGGCCUUGUACACACCGCCCGUCACACCAUGGGAGUUUGUUGCACCAGAAGUAGGUAGUCUAACC